RNAcentral lists this ribosomal RNA (495 nucleotides) under uncultured bacterium. RNAcentral describes it as "partial 16S ribosomal RNA". It matches the Rfam family "Bacterial small subunit ribosomal RNA", at positions 28 to 507 of the family's 1533-position model. The record is from RNAcentral.
GACGAACGCUGGCGGCGUGCCUAAUACAUGCAAGUAGAACGCUGAAGGAGGAGCUUGCUUCUCCGGAUGAGUUGCGAACGGGUGAGUAACGCGUAGGUAACCUGCCUGGUAGCGGGGGAUAACUAUUGGAAACGAUAGCUAAUACCGCAUAACAGUAGAUGUUGCAUGACAUUUGCUUAAAAGGUGCAAUUGCAUCACUACCAGAUGGACCUGCGUUGUAUUAGCUAGUUGGUGAGGUAACGGCUCACCAAGGCGACGAUACAUAGCCGACCUGGGAGGGUGAUCGGCCACACUGGGACUGAGACACGGCCCAGACUCCUACGGGAGGCAGCAGUAGGGAAUCUUCGGCAAUGGACGGAAGUCUGACCGAGCAACGCCGCGUGAGUGAAGAAGGUUUUCGGAUCGUAAAGCUCUGUUGUAAGAGAAGAACGAGUGUGAGAGUGGAAAGUUCACACUGUGACGGUAUCUUACCAGAAAGGGACGGCUAACUACGUG